Long non-coding RNA from Cygnus olor (mute swan), 2111 nucleotides. RefSeq lists it as uncharacterized. The transcript is spliced from 3 exons. The record is from RefSeq and is a predicted model, not a curated record. NCBI's taxonomy places the organism in Eukaryota, Metazoa, Chordata, Aves, Anseriformes, Anatidae.
GGUAUCCUCAGCUCAGUGCUGAAGAGCUGGCAGCAUCACUGAUCUGAAUGCUGAACUUGGGAAGGCAGCUGGUCCCCUGACAUUUCCUCAUGGGAGGUGACACCAAUUCCUGCGGCAAGCAAGUAGGCAUUUUGGAGGAAAAACUGCAGGAAGAGCCCAGAUAAUGCAUACAGCUUAACAGUUGCCUAAAAAAUAAGGACUGGAACCACAAGUGAUGGGACAUGUACCGCCCUCCCCAACUGGACGAGCAUGUGAAGAUUUUCAUCUUGUUGAAUCAUUGCUUUGGUUCAUCAGGCUCAUUUUGAAUUCUCUUCUUGUCUUCAGAGUGUUUGAAAAUCUUCCCAGGGUGAUUCACCUGCAUGUUUUAACACUGCAUGCUCUAAUCUACUUAGCAAACUAUUAAUGCAGCUGUUGAACAGUCCUGUGCUGAGAGGAGAUCCCUGAUUCCGCAAAGGAAUUGUCCCUGUGUUUGUCAAGGAGCUAUUUUGAAUGCAAACACCGAAAGAGGUAUGCUUCCAGCUUACAAUUAAUUUUAUCCUGCCAUUUUCCUGUUUGCUUAAGAAAAUACCGUGUGUGGCAUAGCACUGAAAUCUUUACUACGGUCACGUUUAACACAUCUCUAUUUUCCCCCUUGCCCAGUAGCUUAGUUAUUCCAGGAAGGAGUAUUGCAUUAAUUUGAAACAGCUUGUUGAUUGCCUGCCUUGUUGUCAUGAGCAGCUUAGCAGUUUAAUGAAUGGAAGUACUUAUACAUUGAUUAUUUAAUCUUCUGUUCCAUUGCCUCUCUGACCUUUGAAGGUAAGCUUGCCAAUCGAAAAAUCACUGCACCUCUGUGGAGUGUGGUAUUCGGGAUGGUGCUACAGAUAUCUCAGCAAUGGUUCAUUAGCUACUUCAGUGAGUUUCUUAAGGAUUACAGGUGCUGGCUACUUGAGUAUCAUGUGAAUUUCCUCCAUCCUACUAUUCCCAUAUUAUGACCUAUGUUCUUCAAAUCCCUUUUAAAAUGAAUACUGGGUCUCAAUUAAGCAAGAGGUGUGGAUGAUGUGACAUGCUCAGUCUUUGCAAUCUGCUGUCUGCUGAAAACAAAAACUUUUGCUAAUGUUAGUCACUGAGUCUGUGUAAACGACAAAAAAAAAGAUGGUUUGUCAAAACAAAGAUGUGUUGUGACUUGAGCUUGGAAAUUUAAUGGGAGACUGUGGUCAUGAGUGCAGUGGUUGCAUUUAGGGGUACAUCAAACGUUGGCUUAUGGGCUCAGGUGGCUUUCAGGAAAGGUCUGUGGGCUAGCCAAGGAAGGACACAAUCCUGCAGCAGCUCUCCUGUUACCCCCUGAAGGUUUAUAGAUAGCUUUGACACAGUAGGAUGUUUUUGUAGUGGUCUACAUCUCGCUCUCACGGGCUUGUGGCAUUUCCUCAGUAGUUCACACUUAGCGUGUAAAACUAAACACACCGAUCUGGUGUACGCUUGUUCUGAUCAUUCGAAUAUUAAUCCAAAAAGAAAAAAAUCUUUUAUUUUCUUUGUACUUGCAAGGCUCCAAUUGGGCCAGGAGUCACCCCGUCCUUCUGCAGCUGGCAUAAAUUCAGCAUGAAAACAUGAAGCUAACCUAAACCUUAUUGCAUGUACUAGAUGUACAAAAAAAUAUGAUGGCAUGCAAUGCCUAUUCAGUAUUAAACCUCUGCUGGGCUGUGAUCUGAUGUCGAGUGAUUUGCUGCCAGUCUGCCUAAUUGCCUCACACAGUGGCAAACUGCAUGGCGGUGGGCAGUGCCCGCUCCGUGCCAUGGAGAGGAGGAGGUGGUGGGUUCGUGGUUCAGAUGUGUUUUCUUGAGCCGCAGCCGCGGCCCUAAAUUACAGACUCAUCCCAACUAAAAGCUAAGGUCUGCGGCUUCAGUGAUGAGCUACGGAUCCCCGUGUAAGCGUAAGGCGCCUCAGGGACUGGCUGAAUACUGCUGCUGAGCAAUAAUUAACAGCGUAUUAAUUAUGUCUGGCUGGAAGAGAAAAGCGUGAGGACUUGUAAGGGGUGUCAGCACGAAGCACGUCACGUUGUGCAAGCUGUAGGGGAAGAGCUCUCAGUCAAGCCCCUACCUCCAACCUCUACUGCCCACCGCCCCCAAGAUGGCCGC